CGUGGGUGAUCUGCCCUGCACUCUGGGAUAAGCCUGGGAAACUGGGUCUAAUACCGGAUAGGACCAUGCUUUAGUGCGUGUGGUGGAAAGUUUUUCGGUGUAGGAUGAGCCCGCGGCCUAUCAGCUUGUUGGUGGGGUAAUGGCCUACCAAGGCGGCGACGGGUAGCCGGACUGAGAGGUUGGUCGGCCACAUUGGGACUGAGAUACGGCCCAG
Molecule: ribosomal RNA, 214 nt
Filed under: uncultured Actinomycetales bacterium
Lineage: Bacteria; Bacillati; Actinomycetota; Actinomycetes; Actinomycetales
Description: partial 16S ribosomal RNA
Rfam family: Bacterial small subunit ribosomal RNA
Source: RNAcentral